Ornithorhynchus anatinus (platypus) is the source of this 515-nucleotide long non-coding RNA. RefSeq lists it as uncharacterized. NCBI's taxonomy places the organism in Eukaryota, Metazoa, Chordata, Mammalia, Monotremata, Ornithorhynchidae. The record is from RefSeq and is a predicted model, not a curated record. The transcript has 2 exons.
UGCUCGGUGUCAGCAUGACAUACUUCCCAGGGAGGAGGGUAGACAGAGGGUUGGCACGCUUGCUUACCUGUUAUGAUUUUUCCUUGGACCUAGGAUCCAUCUUGAUGGGCACUUAGCUCUGCCUUGUGGAUCAAAUAUCAGCAUUCUCACCUGCAAAGACGCUUGACCAGGCCACUCUCCAUUCUUUCAUCGCUGAUCUCCCUGUUCUGCAAUCCAGCUAACUGCCCCCAAGCCUACCUCUCCGCUCACCUCGAGCAAACUUCCUCACUUCUUCCCCCCUCUUUUCCACAACUGAACCGGCUCUCAGGCUGCUCCGGAUGUUGGGGAUACCGAGUUCUUUCCCUUGGGUCAUUCAAACACCGCCUGACCAUUAUCCCCCCAGGCCCAUACCCUGGACGUCUUUACCGACUACCCGACUGACCCCUCCCUGCACAUUACCCCUUCCCCACUGCUAAUGAAGGGUGAAUUUUAGAGCUGGAACCUGCUAUCUGUUCAAUGUUGGUAUAGCUGUGCAA